Molecule: ribosomal RNA, 496 nt
Filed under: uncultured bacterium
Lineage: Bacteria
Description: partial 16S ribosomal RNA
Rfam family: Bacterial small subunit ribosomal RNA
Source: RNAcentral
AUGAACGCUGGCGGCGUGCCUAAUACAUGCAAGUCGAGCGAACAGACGAGGAUCUUGCUCCUCUGACGUUAGCGGCGGACGGGUUAGUAACACGUGGAUAACCUACCUAUAAGACUGGGAUAACUUCGGGAAACCGGAGCUAAUACCGGAUAAUAUAUUGAACCGCCUGGUUCAAUAGUGAAAGACGGUUUUGCUGUCACUUAUAGAUGGAUCCGCGCCGCAUUAGCUAGUUGGUAAGGUAACGGCUUACCAAGGCAACGAUGCGUAGCCGACCUGAGAGGGUGAUCGGCCACACUGGAACUGAGACACGGUCCAGACUCCUACGGGAGGCAGCAGUAGGGACUCUUCCGCAAUGGGCGAAAGCCUGACGGAGCAACGCCGCGUGAGUGAUGAAGGUCUUCGGAUCGUAAAACUCUGUUAUUAGGGAAGAACAAAUGUGUAAGUAACUAUGCACGUCUUGACGGUACCUAAUCAGAAAGCCACGGCUAACUACGUG